Molecule: ribosomal RNA, 497 nt
Filed under: uncultured bacterium
Lineage: Bacteria
Description: partial 16S ribosomal RNA
Rfam family: Bacterial small subunit ribosomal RNA
Source: RNAcentral
GAUGAACGCUGGCGGCGUGCCUAAUACAUGCAAGUCGAGCGAACAGACGAGGAGCUUGCUCCUCUGACGUUAGCGGCGGACGGGUGAGUAACACGUGGAUAACCUACCUAUACGACUGGGAUAACUUCGGGAAACCGGAGCUAAUACCGGAUAAUAUAUUGAACCGCAUGGUUCAAUAGUGAAAGACGGUUUUGCUGUCACUUAUAGAUGGAUCCGCGCCGCAUUAGCUAGUUGGUAAGGUAACGGCUUACCAAGGCGACGAUGCGUAGCCGACCUGAGAGGGUGAUCGGCCAGACUGGAACUGAGACACGGUCCAGACUCCGACGGGAGGCAGCAGUAGGGAAUCUUCCGCAAUGGGCGAAAGCCUGACGGAGCAACGUCGCGUGAGUGAUGAAGGUCUUCGGAUCGUAAAACUCUGUUAUUAGGGAAGAACAAAUGUGUAAGUAACUAUGCACGUCUUGACGGUACCUAAUCAGAAAGCCACGGCUAACUACGUG